RNAcentral lists this ribosomal RNA (265 nucleotides) under uncultured archaeon. RNAcentral describes it as "partial 16S ribosomal RNA". It matches the Rfam family "Archaeal small subunit ribosomal RNA", at positions 718 to 982 of the family's 1478-position model. The record is from RNAcentral.
AGUCACUGACAUUAGAUACCCCGGUAGUCCCAGCCGUAAACGAUGUGCGUUAGGUGUAUCGACGACCACGAGUCGUCGAGGUGCCGAAGGGAAACCGUGAAACGUACCGCCCGGGAAGUACGGUCGCAAGGCUGAAACUUAAAGGAAUUGGCGGGGGAGCACCACAACAGGUGGAGCCUGCGGUUUAAUUGGACUCAACGCCGGAAAUCUCACCGGAUAAGACAGCGGAAUGAUUGCCGGGCUGAAGACUCUGCACGACUAGCUG